AACGAACGCUGGCGGCAUGCCUAACACAUGCAAGUCGAACGAGACCUUCGGGUCUAGUGGCGCACGGGUGCGUAACGCGUGGGAACCUGCCCUUAGGUUCGGAAUAACUCCCCGAAAGGGGUGCUAAUACCGGAUAAUGUCUUCGGACCAAAGAUUUAUCGCCUUUGGAUGGGCCCGCGUUGGAUUAGCUAGUUGGUAGGGUAAAAGCCUACCAAGGCGACGAUCCAUAGCUGGUCUGAGAGGAUGAUCAGCCACACUGGGACUGAGACACGGCCCAGACUGCUACGGGAGGCAGCAGUGGGGAAUAUUGGACAAUGGGCGAAAGCCUGAUCAAGCAAUGCCGCGUGAGUGAUGAAGGCCUUAGGGUUGUAAAGCUCUUUUACACGGGAUGAUAAUGACAGUACCGGGAGAAUAAGCUCCGGCUAACUCCGUG
This 433-nucleotide ribosomal RNA is filed under the name uncultured bacterium. Its description in RNAcentral is "partial 16S ribosomal RNA". It matches the Rfam family "Bacterial small subunit ribosomal RNA", at positions 29 to 507 of the family's 1533-position model. The record is from RNAcentral.